This 544-nucleotide small RNA is filed under the name Malus domestica (apple). Its description in RNAcentral is "sRNA MD05G0062800". The record is from RNAcentral. Lineage: Eukaryota; Viridiplantae; Streptophyta; Magnoliopsida; Rosales; Rosaceae.
AUGCAAUUUCAGCAGAUCGUCGUCGAACUAGACCUUGCCACGAAUUGGAAACGACUCCUCUCACUCCCAUGAGAAAUAUUCAGUCCAUCCAACUUCUUAGUUGUGAUGUCUUCGAGAUCAUUACCAUACAGGACAACAACGAAUUUAGGUCCAUCUAACCUCUUAGUUGCUACGUCUUCGAGCUCAUCACCAUACAGGAUGCCACACACGUGUGCAUGGGAGCAUAUUCAAAGCACUUGCGGUUUUCAUCAAUUGUUGAGUCCCAACGACAACCUAUGAACACAACACUGCAUGUAUUGACCGUAUGAUAACAUGAUACAUCUAAGAAGUCAAGACCAUCAUACUGCAUCUACAUCUCAGCAGCAUGAGCAUUAGAAGAUUUAAGUCAAGCAAAUCCUAUUUGAAAACAACCUAGUUGACUUUUCACCAAAUCACUGCCAAAGUCUACUUUCUAGAAACUUGUCAAAGGUAAUGUAUGCGUAAAUUGUUUGAUUUGUAAUAUUUGUAGUUUUCAUUUGAAAGUUUUGUCAAACUCAGGAGGAGU